AGUGAACGCUGGCGGUAGGCCUAACACAUGCAAGUCGAACGGCAGCACAGUAAGAGCUUGCUCUUACGGGUGGCGAGUGGCGGACGGGUGAGGAAUACAUCGGAAUCUACUUUUUCGUGGGGGAUAACGUAGGGAAACUUACGCUAAUACCGCAUACGACCUACGGGUGAAAGCAGGGGAUCUUCGGACCUUGCGCGAUUGAAUGAGCCGAUGUCGGAUUAGCUAGUUGGCGGGGUAAAGGCCCACCAAGGCGACGAUCCGUAGCUGGUCUGAGAGGAUGAUCAGCCACACUGGAACUGAGACGCGGUCCAGAGUCCUACGGGAGGCAGCAGUGGGGAAUAUUGGACAAUGGGCGGAAGCCUGAUCCAGCCAUACCGCGUGGGUGAAGAAGGCCUUCGGGUUGUAAAGCCCUUUUGUUGGGAAAGAAAAGCAGCAGGUUAAUACCCCGCUGUUCUGACGGUACCCAAAGAAUAAGCACCGGCUAACUUCGUG
Molecule: ribosomal RNA, 492 nt
Filed under: uncultured bacterium
Lineage: Bacteria
Description: partial 16S ribosomal RNA
Rfam family: Bacterial small subunit ribosomal RNA
Source: RNAcentral